GACGAACGCUGGCGGCGUGCUUAACACAUGCAAGUCGAACGGAAAGGCCCUGCUUUUGUGGGGUGCUCGAGUGGCGAACGGGUGAGUAACACGUGAGUAACCUGCCCUUGACUUUGGGAUAACUUCAGGAAACUGGGGCUAAUACCGGAUAGGAGCUCCUGCUGCAUGGUGGGGGUUGGAAAGUUUCGGCGGUUGGGGAUGGACUCGCGGCUUAUCAGCUUGUUGGUGGGGUAGUGGCUUACCAAGGCUUUGACGGGUAGCCGGCCUGAGAGGGUGACCGGGCACAAUGGGACUGAGAUACGGCCCAGAAUCCUACGGGAGGCAGCAGUGGGGAAUAUUGCACAAUGGGCGGAAGCCUGAUGCAGCAACGCCGCGUGCGGGAUGACGGCCUUCGGGUUGUAAACCGCUUUCGCCUGUGACGAAGCGUGAGUGACGGUAAUGGGUAAAGAAGCACCGGCUAACUACGUG
This 468-nucleotide ribosomal RNA is filed under the name uncultured bacterium. RNAcentral's name for it is "partial 16S ribosomal RNA". It matches the Rfam family "Bacterial small subunit ribosomal RNA", at positions 28 to 507 of the family's 1533-position model. The record is from RNAcentral.